UUUCUUCGUUUCUCUUCCAAAUCUAUUUAAUACCAUCAAUCACCUCUUCAUAUUCUAAAUCUACAAAUACAAUCAAUCACAUCAUAAACAUAUUUGCUCAGAUCCGUUCAAAAUAUUAUUUAGAUCUCUAGUAAUAUUUUCUCAAAUAUUUAAAAAAUAUCUAGGAAGUGGAAGGUUUCCGAUGAGUCAAAACCAGAGUGGAGGAUCCCCUUAGCUUAAUCUGGUUAUUGACCAAAAGUAGCCAAUGGUAUAAUACCCUCCCUGGCUCCCUUUCUAUCCCCAUUCUUGCAAUGUUAAACAAUGGUAUGUCCACUUCUCUUUUCCAGCUUUAGAAUCUGAAGUGACAUGGUGGAUUGCAAGUCAGAAUUAUGUGGGACAUUGAUAGAAAAAGAUUUCAAAUGAGAAGUAAUAGAAUAUAUUAGAUUCGUGUGAGGUUUUAAUUGUUGUUUUAAACCAUAUACAUUUUUAUUUUUUAUUUUUUCAUCCAAUUUCCAAUAUGUAUAUUAAGAAUUAUAUGUGAGGUACUCUCUUAUUUGUUUUCUUACAUACAUCAAAGCAUUUUUAUAAAAAUUCUCAAAGCGACAUACUAAAGGUGCAAUGCACCAUUUACAAAAUUUAAUUUCAUCCUAAUUUUAUUGUACUCCACAUAGUAGAUAGAAAAUAACUUGUUUUAGUUGAAAAUUGUUUAUCCUUUUAUUAAGAGAUGAAUGACAUGAAAGGUGAAAUUUUUUUUAUUCAUCUCAAUUUUCAUAUUCAACUCGUUUUAUUCAUAUGACUAUUAUACAUUCUAUCAACUCGUUUAUUUUAUUAAUAAUCAUUUGCAGCCUAAGUGAGGUAAGUAAUCUAAUAGAACUUUCUAAGCGUUUUAUUGUUUCUUCAUUUCUUAUCCAUCUCUUCAUGUAAGAUAGUUCUUAUCCAAUAUUAUAUAAAAGUACUUAUGCGUGACUUACUCUCUUAUUUGAUUUUCUACAAUUAUCAUUGAAAUGAAAAAGGAAAAAAAAAAAAAACUAAACGUUUUGUACCAAAAAUACAAUCUCAAAGCACUCGAUUCUCGUCAAUCUUUUUCUGGCAUACUAAAGGUACAAAUGGUUGAUACAUUUUAGGAGGUUAAAAGAGAUAAAUCUAGCUUUCAACUAUAUUCAACGAGAAAUGCACCAUUUACGCUCCACAAUCAUCACAAGAACCAUUUCAACCGGAUUUGUACCUUCAAUACCAGAGGAUAGACUUGUUCAACAGGUGUUCCAGGCUUUAGAGCCACACCUGGCCUCAUCCCAACAGACUUAAUAUUUUCCACAAGUUCUUGCCAAUUCUCUGAAAAUAAGCAAAACACAAGUCAAGACCGAGCAUUAGGAUGAGACAAAAUUGGAGGAUGGUGUAGGGGAAAGAGCUAUCUAUAUAUACCUUUGGCCACCUCAACGUGCAAUGUGAAACCAGACGCCCCAGCUUUAGCCAUUUGAUCCACGUAAAUUAUAUACCAUUUGAGCUAUCUAUAUAUCCAGUUUGGGUAAAUUAUCCAAAGUCCAAACCAAGCCAAACCGACCCGAACCGAUCCUAAAUCUGUUUUUUUUUUCCGAUUCAAAUUCGGAUAAAACCAAAGAACCGGAUCGGUUCAUGUUCUUAUAGUUUCGGUUCUCAGUUACGGUAUGCACCUAGUUAACCAGAAUCAAAUUGAAAUUAAAAACCCUAGUUCCGACCUCGACUUGAUUUGUA
RNAcentral lists this long non-coding RNA (1710 nucleotides) under Arabidopsis lyrata. RNAcentral describes it as "long non-coding RNA (ALYR_LNC002617)". Lineage: Eukaryota; Viridiplantae; Streptophyta; Magnoliopsida; Brassicales; Brassicaceae. The record is from RNAcentral.